UCGUCCUGUUCUUUGCAAAACAGUUUAUCCACCGGGUUGAUAUGUGACCCAUGUAUGAAUGUAUGAUUUCUACUUAUUUUUGACCUUAAAUGUAAAGUUUAACAAUUUUUACACAUCCAUUGUUCACAUAAGUUACACCCCGGUCCUCUCAUACAGAUGUCACAGGACUUCGAUGCAGAUUUUGCCAUUUUGGUUGUUUUCUUUUAG
This 207-nucleotide long non-coding RNA is filed under the name Mytilus galloprovincialis (Mediterranean mussel). The record is from RNAcentral. Lineage: Eukaryota; Metazoa; Mollusca; Bivalvia; Mytilida; Mytilidae.